UCAUGGAGUGCCUUAUGGGGAUGUGCCUGUAGGCACUCUAUUUUGACAUGGGAGGUAUUGAAAAAUUCUAUCGUUCUAAUUGUGGAAUUGCAACAGUGACUGCCUAAGGGAUUAAUCUGCAUCCACAGAAAGAUUUUGGAUCUUUCUAGAGAAUAGUUUUUCACCCCUUUCAAGUUAGCUUUUCGGCCCUCCUUGGAGGAAUAUUCGGAAGAUGGAUGGAUUUUUGAGAGAGAACCAGCAAUAGCAUCCCCGAUAUCCUUUAAUGGGGAUCGAUGGCUAUCAAAGGGGGUCUUCUCACAUGGAUAUCACUGAGGGCCCCAU
Molecule: long non-coding RNA, 321 nt
Filed under: Elaeis guineensis (African oil palm)
Lineage: Eukaryota; Viridiplantae; Streptophyta; Magnoliopsida; Arecales; Arecaceae
Description: long non-coding RNA (EGUI_LNC025688)
Source: RNAcentral